CCAUAUAUACAUAAACCAGACCAGCACCAACAUUAGAGAAACAAAACCGAAACUGUGACUAUAUGACAACCUCAUCUGCAUCCUUGCGAAGAAGAGGAAUCAGGUAAGAAUAUGUGAUUCUGUGCACGGUUCUUUCCCCUCCCCUGUAUAUCCUUAUAUAUAUAUAUAUAUAUGUAUGUAUAUGUAUAAAUGUACUUACACACCUACAUACAUAUAUCAUAGUCAUGAAUGCUCAUCUUGUAUUUUUAAUAAACUAUGGGAUAUGAAUUUUGACCUGAAAGAGGAUUUCAAAAAUUCCAGACGCUAAAAUUACGCUUAACUUUCACUAAUUUGAGUACGAAGAAAUUUCAAGACGCAUAUCUCAGCUAACAGUAACCUCACAUAUACAAAUAGUCUAGAUAAAUUUAGUUUAAUUUUGAAAAAUAUCCUUACUUUUGAUAUAAAUUGAACACUCAAAUGGCUCAAAUUAAAUACUAAAAAACACCAAAAUGUGACAAACACUAUACACUCACAAUGCCACGUUAUAACAUAGUAUCUUAACCAACCAAUAACAACGCAUCAUUAAAGAUAACACCUAUGUGAGUGUGUAUUCCUUUCUAUGGAGUUUGCUUUUAGAGCCAUUCAUUGUUCUAUCUCAUUCUCUCUCUCACCUCAUAAAACUCACUAGUCCAACAUCAACCAAGGUAUAACCCACGAAAAGAAAAAAAAUUCACUUAGAUAAACCAUAUCUUCAUCAUGGCUUCAAUAACCUCAGCCACCGUCGCAAUCCCAUCUUUCACCGGUCUCAAAUCCACAUCCUCCAAACCCUCAACCGUCGUCAAAAUCCCACCGUGGCGGCAGCAUCAACGAAGCUCACCGUGAAGUCAUCACUAAAGGACUUCGGAGUCGCUGCCGUAGCGGCUGCAGCUUCCAUUGCUUUGGCUGGAAACGCCAUGGCAAUAGAUGUUCUCUUGGGAUCAGGAGAUGGGGCGUUAGCCUUUGUCCCCAACGACUUCACAAUAGCCAAAGGUGAGAAGAUUGUGUUCAAGAACAAUGCUGGAUUCCCACACAACGUUGUGUUCGAUGAGGACGAGAUCCCAAGUGGUGUUGACGCUAGCAAGAUCUCGAUGGACGAGCAAGAUUUACUCAAUGGUCCGGGAGAGACGUACGAGGUUGCUUUGACUGAGCCUGGGACUUACAGCUUUUAUUGUGCGCCGCAUCAGGGUGCUGGUAUGGUUGGUAAAGUUACUGUUAACUAAUAAAAUGUGACUGUAAUGUGACAGAGAAUCUCUGAGUCAGGUAGAGGCUUUUGUUUCAGUCUUACAUAAGGUGUUUUGAACCGAAUGGACCGUGAUAUGCUAUAAUGUGACUGGUUCCAUAAAUGCUAUUUCUUCGUUAUAAAUUAUAUGUAGAUUUAUGUCUCGCCCUAAAGUCUAUACUCAAGAGUCAAGACCAAUUAGGAAUAUAUUUAAUCAUAAUGUCUCAAUCAGGAUUUGAGUUCAGAUGAGUAGAUAGUAUCCAUAACAUAUAUGAAUUUAACUGUUAAAUUUUGAAGUGUAUAUUUAGUACGUACAAAUUCAGUGAUAAGACGAACUGCAACAUGUAAGAAUCCAUUUAUAUAACAAAUAUUAAAAUAAUUUCAUCAUGUUUAAAUCCAGAAUCUGAAUCUGAAGUCUAGUCUUUCGUAUGACCGUUUUUGGCUAUCCCGAUUUUGUUUAGUGGCACAAGAAACCGAAAAUGUGGUGCUUCAAACCGCCACUAAAUAUGCAAUCAAUCAAAUUUUCAUUAUAUUCGAUAAUAUCCACUUACCAAGUGUAGUAUUGAUGCAACUUUUUUUUGACUAAAAUAUUGAUGCAACUUGGAAGCUUGAUUAUGUACUUGUGAGAUUGGAUGGGUUAUUUAAAUGGUUUGGACAAAAGCCUAUCAGAGGUUACAUUAUGUAAUAGAGGCAUAAGUAAGAUCUCUACUUGGUUUAUGACUUGCUUAGAUAAUAUCUUGGCUUCAACGAGUAAUGUAUGAGAGUGAUUCACGUGUAUUCGUCAAGGCAGUAAUACGUGAUUAGGGCAAUCAACAGUUUCAGAGGGAGACAAACCAAUAAUUGUGCUCAUCUUAUAGCUAAUAACGCAUUAAAAACGUGUGGAUUUAUUCACAAAUCGAAUUAUUUUGUUUGUUUGAAGUAUUCAAAAACUUUAGACCUAGUACGUAGAAACGAAGUUCCGACACAAAAAAACAACUACACAUGGAAGCAGGAACGAAGACAAGUUAAUAACUAGCUUUAACUUGUAGUGGUUUUGGUUGAUCCAUGGUUCUUCUCUUCCACAGAUUAACUUCACUCUUCUGUCUCGAGCACAUGGCCAGAGGCGUGCUUACAGCGCAUGGAAUCAUCGUCUCUUUGUCAUCGGAAGAGUAACCUCGGCGGUGAUGAUCCGACCGAGAUUCUUCACGUUUGAUCUCGGCCGUCCAAUCAAAUCCACCUAGAGCCUCUCUGCUGCUCGCGAAUUUCUUCAUUUUACACAACGAAGGCGCCGCAACCGCUUCCACCGCCGAGAUCGGAGGUUCGCUAGCGGCGGAGACGGCUACGUAGUUGGAUUUUCUCGACCCCAUUGAGAAGAGACGUUUUAGUUUCGACCAGUUUCCCUUGCCUGCUUCUUUAACAAGACGAGACGAUGCCGUUUUGAGAUUCUUGCGUUCUCUGGUCUUCGUCUCUGGACAUUUCGACUUAUUAGCGAGUUUGAUCUGACCGAUGCAGGAGACUUUAGGCGAAGUGGGCUCGGCGAAAACGACGGCGUUCUUGGUUCUUCUCCUAGCUCUUGAGGCCGCCGUUGGAAGCAACGGUGUUAUCGGACCAGAGAAGAAAAAUCCUCUGCUCACCGUCGAAGCCGUACGGUGGUGAUGGAAAUCUCUUACCGGACUAAACGGACUGUGACCAAUUGACAAGGCUUUCUGAAGCAUCUUCGAGAGUUUCGUGGGGUUGUUGUCAGAUGCUUUUUCCAUUUAUUCACAAAGUACACGAACACGGAGAUCCUUGGUUUUAUAUAUGUACUUUCUGUUGUGUCUGAAAGUUCUCAGAAAGUGAGAGUCAAAGGAUGUUUAUAGAUGAACACAAUUGAAAAUGUCAAGAUGAUGACGUCAUGGAAGGGUUUGGGUCAAAGCUGAUGCUAAACCGGAGAAGAUCUUAAUGUUAUGAUACAGUUUUGACUUCAAACCGGAGAAGACAUUUAUGGUUUAAAGACUUAUACGGCCGACUUUGAUUCGGUUUACAAAAUCAAAUGCUGAUUGGUUUACAGUUUUCCUUAUAGCUUAGGUUGUCUUCUUAUUUCGACGCGGGUUUGUUAAUGGUUUGUUUGACUUUUAUGGAGCUAAUCUCACACGUGUUGUAAUACGUUAUAGUGUAUGAAAACUAAUAAAAGCCACAUGAUUGUUAAGUUUGUUAUGCUUCAAACUGUAGUUGAUUGUGUGGAAUUAGUUAAAUAAACUAAUUAGUACAUGAACAGCUCGUUAGCCGAUAUAUUAUUAUAUUGAAAGCGACGUGCAAAGGGAACACUUGUCCUUUUGGUUUUGGUCUUGUUAUUAUAAGAUUCCCAAACAGUUGUCAAUACACAAUAGAGUACAUGUGUCUACCAGUUUGUUACAUUGUCAUUGGACGGUGAGAACUACUUCGUAGGACUAGUUCCUCUCAUUCAGUCUUCUCUUGUCUAGUUGUUUAUAUACGUUACAAUGCAAUUAAGAAUAUGCUGUUAAAUAUUUUUCAUCUUAGUUCAUGGCAAACCACAAUUUUAUAAGACAGCUGUACAUACGCAUUACAUUCCUUUUUGUUUGGAACUCAAGCUACUUUUUGAUCGCUAUAGCUUUUUGUAAAAGAUCUUGGUGACUUAAGGAUUUCUUUUGUAUUUCUUGAUUUUUUUGUGUGUCCCCAACAUCUUCUUUGGUUUGGUUGACUCAUGAGACUCAUAACAUUAUCUCAUAUAUAAACAAAUAUCCAAAGCUUUUUGGGGAUAUAAAUAAUAUGGUGAACAUUUCAAAUAAUUUAGAAACCAUAUAGUUUGUGCAUAUUUUUCUUAGAAAUUUGGAGGCCAUCGCCAUAAUCCAAUAUUUCAUUUAAUUAUGGUGAGGAACGGCCCUAUUAGUAUUUCGAGAUGCACGUUAACCAGUGUUUAGCCCAAAUCAAAGUUACAAACUGAUUGACAAAUUGCUUGAAAUGUUUCUUAAAACUUCUUUUUAACUAAUUUUUUUCUUAAACUUGGUCGAGGAAAAAAAUAGUACUGCUUUGAUGCUUGGAAGGCUCCUUCCUACAAUGGCCAUGCUAAUGACUAUGGAGAAUGUGAUCUUAUCAGGCACGCAUCCGUGAUCAUCCAUUCUAUGACAGUAAUGUUCCUCUGAAGCUAACCCAGGUCCAAAGUAACGCCUAAUCAAGAUCAUGAUUCACGAAGGUAUCCAUCGAAGUCUCUACAUCACUAGAUUUCAUGAGAUCAAUCAAGUGCCAAGCUGAUAGGUUGAACUAUCUUACUUUACCUGCAAGACGAUGAUUUCAUUGUAACUUGUAAGGAUGAGGCGAUUUCUUGUGGUACACGUAAGUUACCCAGUGAAAGAAAGCUAGCGAUUAAAGGAGAGGGAUUCCGUCAAGAGAGAGUUUUGAUCGUGUUAACGCCAUUAAUGAGAGGUUUGAUGACCUCUCUCUUGAGUCUUGAGUCGCUUUCAAAGCUCAGAACUCAGAGUAGCUCUGGACCUCUGGUGAGCCAGCAAAAGGUGAAACUUUACCUGAAGCGGCGACGUUUAGUGCUUCCUCUAUAGAUGAUACCUGUUUUUUGCGUUUAAUAGUCUUUUUCUUUUGCUUAAACGUGUCAUUAUCGUGUUACUAGUCCUUUUUCAUGUAAAUCUAUUGCUUGGCAAUUAAAAACAUUUAAUGGCAAAACCAAUACGUCAAGUCAUAAUUCAAAAGAAUAUUACUCGUUUUAUUUGAACAUAUCCGACUAUAUAAGGAUAUACCCAUUUGGCAAAAAAAGGGUAAGGAUAUACUCAAUACAUUGGACAGUAUUCUACACGUAUUAUAUGAUGCUUGACCACGUUUUGUGGCUAUGAUAUGUGUCACCUGGAUGAAGUAAUACUGGAUGAUGGUAAUUGCUACAUUUUUUUCAUUUAAGGUAUAAGCAGCUUGACCAAUGCCAAUUUCCUGAGUCCUGACUCGCAAGUGCUAGGACUAUUCUCUCAUUAAACAAAUAAGCUUAUACGAUAUUUAAAAAAAAAAAAGAAGCAAAAACAUAUACGAUAGUUUCAAACCUAGCUUAUGGGUGACAGAUCAAAUCAAAGUCUUAAUAUGAUUUAUAAUGACAAAUGAUUUAGGAAUACGACUAAUUAAAACAAACGACUCUUUCUAAAGUUUAAAUCUUCUAAUCUUCGAUCCUAAUCCGAUCUAGCUUUGGAAAUUUUCACAUUACAUUCCAGAGAUAAAUACUAACAACCCGCCUAUACUUGUAUAUAAUUAUAGAUAUGCUAUCUUCUCUAUAUCUAAAGUCCUAAUCCAACAUUAAUUAUAUAGUUGACACAUAACCCUUGUUGCUUAUAUAUUUAUAUAUUGCUCCAAAACCUCAUAAAAACAGAUAUUAAUCACUGGGUUCUUAUCAAAUAGUGCCGUCGGCGCCAACGCCGGCGGAAGAGAGGGAGACGGAGGAUCAGCAGGUGUCGUUAAAGACUCUGAUUCCGUUCCGUUAUCCAGCUGGGACCAAGACGCCUCCGUUCGAGCAUAUGUCUAAGUCGUUACAACGUCGAUACGUCAAGGUUAAAGAGCCUCUCUUUGAUCCAGUGACAUCCAAGCCUAUUUAUUGGCGGGAAGAGCCUUUUGAUGUCAACGGCAAAGAUCAUGACGAUCACGACCAUGAUCAUGGAUGUUUGUUCUUCUUGAAGGUAAGCAUUCGAAGAAUGGUCGAUAAAUGGUUUGGUCCUCUUCUUGGAUUACCCAAAACUGAAGAUGCUAAUUACUGACAUACUUUUUUUUUUAAAGAUUGAAACACAAACAUGAGUUUAAUUCUUUCUGGUUUGGGACUGACAUUGUGAGAGUGCUUUAAUGAGUUUUUUUAUACGAGUCUUUGAUUGUAUUAUCUUUUUAUACGAGUCUUUGAUUGUAUUAUCAUAAUUAUCUUGAUAUGUUUUUUCGAAUACGAAGUAUGCACGUCUAAAGAUUGUGGACAACAUAAAGUCUACAAAACAAAAGAUUGUGGAAAGCAUUAUUUCUUGUUAACGCUUUCAGUUUUGUGUUCCAACUUCCAAACCCGUAUUAUGACACUAUCAAAUAAACACUGUCAUCUUUAUAUAAAAGCUGGACUGUUAUAUUCAUAGAAAUUAUCAUAGGGACGGGACCAUUCUUGAUUUGGAUUCGUAUAUUAGUUUCUCUAUCUUACAACCAGAGAACUCACCAAAUACAAGAUAUGGCACAUAUGUAUAAUAAGAGUGUUCAAGGAAUAGAUUAUUACAAAAGAGAAAUACAUGAUUCACCAGUUUGGAAGACAAAAACACAAGGCUUAUAAACAGCGUUUGUGUUACUAGGCUUUCCUACACAAAGCCUUUAUUAUACAAAUGAAAAACAAAAGAAUAAUCCCAAAUCACAAUUCUGAGUUUUUUUUCUCACGCAAUCUUGUUUUUUCUUCUCGAGACAUAAUUAAAAGUUCCAAACUUCCAAAUAAGAAUGGAGCAACAUAGAGGCUGUUUAAGAAAGCUUUAGCUUGUGGAGUCGCGGCUGUAGAAUUGAUCAAGUGUUUUGGCUGGAAUACGGUGAAGAAGCUCACGAGGGAAGAUACGGAGCAGUGUCCAUGCCAAGUCAAGUGACUGGAAGAUGUUUCUUGUAUCGUAUGCUCCUUGCAUCACAAACUUCCUCUCAAAUUUGUCCAGAAACUCUAAAUACAGCUGCAUAACCACACCACAAGAAGCUGAGUUAAUUAUUGUUGUGAGUAUUUGAUAUGAACAUGAUGUAUGUGAUUAAGUAGAGAAAGGUACCAGAUCUUCAGAAGAAAGAGCUUCUUCUCCAACUACAGCUUUCAUGGCUUGAACAUCCUUCCCGAUUGCAUAGUUUGCGUAUAGCUGAAAUUAAUAAUACAUGAUAUUAUGAAUUGGUUUUGAUGAUACUAAAUAACCAUAUGAGAUGCUUUAGUUAUAGAUAGAGAACCUGGUUGGACACAUCAGAAUGGUCACGGCGAGUCAUUCCCUCACCAAUACCAUAUGACGAUGCUCUUAGUUAUAAUAUGUGAACCUGGUUACAAUCAAUGCACCGAGUCAUUCCCUCAAAUCGCUCUGAUAAUUAGUGAACGAUGAAAGUAAAAGUCAUAUUAUGUUUCUAUCAAUGUGAAUCCAUAAGGUAUAUAAUACAAUGGUUUAGCUACCUUCAUUAAUCGAGAAAGUGAUGGAAGCACGUUGAUGGGUGGAUAUAUCUGUUUUAGGGAUGAACGAAAAUGAAUGAGAAACUUCUUUUAUUACAGAUACAAAAAAUGAAUGAAGUAUAGCGCACCUGUCUGUUGUGAAGUUGCCUGUCAAUGUAUAUCUGACCCUCAGUAAUAUAACCAGUAAGAUCCGGAGUAGGGUGAGUGAUGUCUGAGUAUUACAACAAGGAGAUAAUAUGAGCUUUGUUCAUUCAGAAAGAAGAGAAUCCAAGAAUGAUAUGACUUUAUUUACCAUCAUUGGGCAUAGUGAGGAUAGGGAUUUGGGUAAUGGAACCCUUUCUUCCUUCAAUACGCCCUGCACGCUCAUAGAUAGUUGCAAGAUCUGUGUACAUAUAACCCGGAUAUCCACGUCUCCCAGGUACUUCUUCUCGAGCAGCAGAGACCUACAGUUCAUCAAAAUACUUCAGAAUUCGUGCUGUUGUCAAAAAUAAAAUGUAACAUCUUGCUGGUUGGGGUUUUCGAAAUCCUAAAUCGAGUUAUGUAUCAUGGGACGGAACACCGAAACCAAUGAAAGACAUUUUACCUCACGAAGAGCAUCUGCAUAGGAACUCAUGUCUGUCAAUAUAACAAGCACAUGCUUCCCACAUUCAUAAGCUAAAUACUCUGCGGUCGUGAGGGCAAUUCGAGGAGUGAUAAUUCUCUCGAUGGUCGGGUCAUUUGCCUGUUGGAGUGGGAAUGCAUACUAAUGUCAAAACAUCAUUAACAUAACUAUUAGUACUAGCACGAAGUCAAGACGCAUAGUUACCAGGUUCAGGAAAAGAGUAACUCUUUCCAUUGAUCCAUUUUCUUCAAAUCACGCUUUGAAGAACUGAGCCGUCUCAUGUUUACACCCAUAGCUGCAAAAAACAUUGCAAAGUUGUCCUCUCCAUGGUCCUGGAAAACACACAGAGAAUAAAUCGAAGGAGAUUAUACAAGGCAACCAUAAUCAGAGACUGAAAGUACGAAGUAAAAUACUAAUUGUCAAAGAAAGUAAAAUAAUCACAUGGAUUCUUCGAGGUGCUUAAAUGCAUUCUUAGAAAGUGAAUGUGUGCUCGGGACACAUUUACACUUCAGCAUGAUCCUCAAAAGAUAAAAAAAAAUUACUUUAGUGGUGGUGAGUAGAGCAAAAUGAUUACCUCAAUUAGGUUCUCAGUCUUCUCCAACCGCUUAACAAGACCAGCCUGACGACAAAUUUGAGCAGCGAUUUCGUUAUGAGGUAGACCAGCAGCAGAGAAAAGAGGAAUCUUCUGUCCACGAGCGAUGGAGUUCAUGACAUCAAUGGUAGAAAUCCCUGUUUGUAUCAUCUCUUCAGGGUAGGUUCUCUCACUGGGGUUGAUUGAACUUCCUAUACACAUUAUUCACCAACACAAUUAAAACAACAAGCACAAUCUUUAUUUUCUUGAGAGACCACACAAUGAAGCAAUAAACACUCACCAGAGAUAUCAAGGUAUGCCUGGCAAAAUGGAAAUAUGCGGAGGAGCCGUUUAUGCGUCAAUGUCUUGUGAUACAGGGUCUUCAAAACCUGAAACACAUACCCAGACCUGUAUAAAUCUCGGAAAACUACCAAAUCAACCUUGUGAACUGAACGGUGGUAAAUUUGUUGUCAAUCCCAGAUGUUCCUUCAAAAACCUGAAACCAAUAACGUUAUUGAGAAGAGAGAACCUGUACAGUCUGCAUUGUAGGUAGAGUAAGACGAAAAAGAUGAUGAAACCUGGACAACAGCUUUCUCGCCAUCAACUUCCAGAACCUGACCACGUCUCAUAGAUCCAUCACCUAAGCGAAUAUUAACAAUCUCCUGGUACUUUGGCCCCUGUUACAUUUCACAAACAGUUUAAUAAAUCCUCAGAGUUUAAGUAAAGCUUCUUGCUAACAAUGUAUAUAUAUAUAUACCUUCACUUUCUCAAGAAUGACUAAAGGUCCAGCAACCCCUGAGACAGUUCUGUACUCUACACAAAUUCAAAGAUUCUCAAAUCAGCAUCUUAAAAAGAUAAUAAUAAUCUACAGAAAAGGGUUGAUUAUGCACAAAUCAAUACAAAGCGGAACAAUCACAUGAAAUACACAAAGUACAAGGACUAAUAUGAGAUCCAUGAUCGGGAGACUUUACCCAUUCCGAUCUCGAGAGCUCCUUCAUCCAUGUCGAUACCAGCCGCUCCCAUUGUCGCAGAUCAAUAUCAAAUCAAACCGCUCCACAAAUCCUGUGGAAAGGGAGAGAAAAAAAAAAAGGUUACAAUCGCGAUGUCGAAAUGAAACUAAAUCAACUGGAUGAGAUCCAAUCAGAUCCGAAGAAGAUGAGACGGAGAUCGAAGAAAGAUCUGAGGAAGCAAAUCACGUACCUGGAACGAACGAAUGGAGAGAGCGAGUUGUGUGAUUGAACGAACGUGGUUGGAGUAUAUCCCACUGACCUCUCUAAUUAUUGAAGUUAUUAUUAUUUUCCUUCAAAUCCAAAAUUAUUAAUUUUUCCACCGAAAAGUUUUUUUUUUCCUUCAAGAAAAGAAAAAAAGAAACGCCCACCGUGGGUCUCGAACCCACGACCACAAGGUUAAGAGCCUUGAGCUCUACCAACUGAGCUAGACGGGCUUGUUGUGUAACACAAAGCUGUUAAUAUAUAUUAUCUAUUGUCAUAGCCUACCGACAGCAAGUGUAUUUACCAGGCGAGAGGCUCAUAAAGUUUAUGUCUACUUGUAUGAUGAACCAAAUUGCUGAGAGCAUCAUGCACUAUAUAUCUUCUGUAGGUUGACCAUUCAUAAGCUUCUACUGAAUUAUAACGAGUAGUAUUAUAGAAACCUAAUUUAUGAGGAUCAACAAUCUUCAAAAAUGUCACCAGAAAUCGACACAAGAACAUAUACCAUCUUUAAAGCAAUGGACAUAUUUGUAUCUUUUAUCGAAGAUCUCUUUACCUGUGUAAACCGAUACUAGUUUAGUCAUUGACAAUCGUCGCUUAUCCUAAAGUUCUUUAUGACUGAAGAGGUGUACCAUCUGAUGUGUUGAGAAGACCAAAAAAAUGUUGCUAGUUUUUCGUUGUAUCCCCGUAACAUGUGCUCUCUCUCUUGCUCCUCCACAUAUGACAGAGCAAAAUCCAUGAUUGGCUGAUGACUCGAUUUCUUCAACAUUUUGCUAAUCCCAUACAUGUUAUUUGUUAUUUGAUCUGUAUGCAAACUACUUUGAUGAAACAUUAUUGUUUGAUAAAAAAAACUUUCAAAGCUAGAUAUAUAAAAAAAAAAUCAUACCAACUUGUAAACUAUACCUCAUUAGCUGUGUCAUUGUAAACUACUAUUUCUUAACAUUUACACCAAAAAAAUGAAGUUAUUUUCAAGGCAAUGGAAAAAGCUAUCAACAAGAGUGUGACCAUUGCCGAGCUCAUUAAGGUAUGCGUUCUUUUAUCCGUUCCUAAUAACAAAAUGGAGCAGCUUUAUUUUAUCUGACCAUUUAUUUUGUUACUGUAAUCCUUGAUGCAGAGAAGGAUUCCUGGAAUCCAUCAGCACACAUCUAUUGGAUCCAUUGACAUAACUGAUAUCUGGGAGAGUAAAGAGGAAGGCCUUCUUCCGUAAGUCGAUUGAUAAUGUGUAUGCUCUUAGUUUUGUUGUCCAGGCAUGUUAGUUACUACUUCUUUGUUCCUUUUUUUCUUGUGAAGGAUUGAGACAACAAGGCAUGUGUUAGUGAUCACUAUAACGCUUUCGAAGAAGGAGCUGAACACAUCCGCAGUUGGGUGAGUUCUUAGUGCUUGUUUGUUUUGAUAUUUUAGGUACAGUUACAUUGUCUUAAGCACUAGUAUGUCUCUGGUGCUAAUAUCUUGUUAAAUUAUGUUGCAGUUACCAGUGUCCGAUCCCAAUCGAGUUGGGGAAGCCAUUUGUUGAGAUUGAUUACGAAGGAAGAGGUAAUUACAGUGACUUAUAAUGAACAUUUUCAUCCUCCCUAAGAUCCUGUCUUUUAUAUGUUUAUCUAUUUGUUGUAGAUGGAUCACCUUGAGGCAGAGAAAGAAGAGGCAGAGGAAGAGGAGACAGAGGUAGCAGCAUUGCUUUAUCAAUCUUAUUUCUAAAAUCUUAGAGAACGGUUCCAUUUUUGUUGAUCUGACUGUGGCUUUAUGUUUUCUCAGUUGUAUCAGGGGAAAGAUAUGUUAACGUUGAGUAUGAUGAUGAAAGUAUGGAGCCUGAGUAGGUACCUGGGAGAGGAGGACGUGGUGGUUGUGGGAGAGGAGGACGCAGUGGUCGUGGAAGAGGAGGGUUCAUUCAGCUAAACGCUAGUGUUACUUCAAACGAUCCCGUAUGAUCUCUAACAGCUUAAUUACUUGGCACUUAGCUUGCGCAUAAGCAUUGCUCGUCUCAAGAACCUAAACAGAAGAACCAUCGAUGUCAUAAUCCUAACCUAAUCUUCUUUCCGUCUCUGUGAAGAGCAACGUACGUGAGUUGGGCAAAAUGACACAGGACGUCGAGAUGAAAGAUAACCAACACCCCUUCUCAAUCGAUCAUCUCCUCCACGAUGCAGCGUGCGUGAAUCUCAAUCGUUAGGAGCUUCAUUGUUCUUCUUUUUCUGAUUGAUCAGAAGAAGUACCCCGAGGUUAAUCAUGCAUGCUGCCUGCCUCAUCAUGAGUUAUAUUUAUGAAUUAUGAUAAUGGGUUUAGUUUCAUGAGUUUGCUUUUUGGUUAUCUCUUAGGCUAAAGCUUGUUCUUCGUCAAGACGGCAAGCAUUGCUCGUCUCAAGAACCUAAACAGAAGAACCAUCGAUGUGAUUGUUGGAGUUAGCUUGAAGUAACUUGAGAUUGAAGCUACCUAAUCCUAGUGUGUUAUGGAAAUCUAAAGGAUUAGGAAAUAUUGUUUUAUGUUAAACCUAUUGUGUUUAGGAAACUUUGGUUCCUAUAUAAGAAGAUGUCAAGAUGUGACAUAGCUUAUGAGCUUUGAGUGAUUUUGAUAUUGUGAUUGUGAACUUGAUUGAUUGAAUAAGAGAAGGACUUCUUAUUGAUAUCGAUUGUGUGAUUCUACAUUUGGUAUCAGAGCCAUACAAAGCAACUUGAAGAUCAAAUUCAACAAACAUGGGAGACGACAAAGACGAGAUCGCUAUGCACAAAGAUACAAAACCUACCUCCAUCAAGUUUCCUAUGCUAACAUCCUCAAACUACACGGUCUGGUCUAUGCGAAUGAAAAUUGCGCUCAAAGUCAGUGAAGUAUGGGAAACAAUCGAUCCAGGAUCCAAAGAUGAGAAGAAGAACAAUAUGGCUAUUGCGUUUUUGUUUCAGUCCAUACCGGAGGCUUUAGUUUUACAAGUUGGAGACAUAGAAACAUCAAAAGCGGUUUGGGAUGCGAUAAAGGCAAGGCACAUUGGAGCCGAAAGAGUCAAGGAAGCUAGGUUACAAACCCUAAUUAAUGGCGGAAUUUGACAGACUCCAGAUGAAAGAUGGAGAUACAAUUGAUACUUUUGUCGGUAAACUUUCGGAGAUUUCUUCAAAGUCUGCAUCGCUGGGCGAGAUGAUUGAAGAACCUAAGCUGGUAAAGAAAUUCCUUAAAAGCUUGCCAAGGAAGAAAUAUAUUCAUAUGGUUGCCUCUCUUGAGCAAGUCUUGGACCUUAAUACAACCAGUUUCGAAGACAUAGUUGGACGAUUGAAAGCGUAUGAAGAAAGAAUAGCUGAAGACGAAGAAGAAGAUUCUCGUGACGAUCAAGGGAAACUUAUGUAUGCUGAUACGAAUCAAGAGAAUUAUGGGGGGCGAGGCCGUGGACGAGGUGGUCGCUCAAAUUGGCGAGGACGAGGACGUGGCCGCUCCGGAUCUUCAUUCCAGAGUCAAAGAGAAGCAUAUAGACAACGACUAAGCGGAGAUAUUUCGCACAUCACAUGCUUCAAGUGUGAUAAGCUAGGUCAUUAUGCUUCCGACUGUCCAGAUAAAGCACUUAAGCUACAAGAGACAGUCGAGAAGAAGGACGAAGAGACUCAGGAAGCUGAUGAAUUGAUGGUUCACGAGAUAGGACGGUCUCAACGAGUAAGGUCCAAACCCUCUUAUCUCGAUGACUACAUUCUAUUGGCUGAGAUUGAAAGUGAACGACUAUUGAUGGUAAUAAACGAGGAACCAUGGGACUAUACUGAGGCCAAGAAGCUAAAAGUUUGGGUAGAUGCUUGCAAAGACGAAAUCUUCUCUAUAGAAAAGAAUAACACAUGGGAUCUCGUUGAACUACCAUCUGGUAAAAAGCCUAUUGGUCUUAAAUGGGUGUUUAAAAUAAAACGCAAUGCCGAUGGAAGUAUCAGUAAGUUUAAAUCACGGUUAGUAGCAAAGGGAUACGUCUAAAGGCAUGGGAUUGAUUAUGAUGAAGUCUUUGCACCGGUGGCUCGAGUUGAAACGAUUCGUUUGAUCAUUGCACUAGCCGCUUCUAAUGGGUGGGAGAUCCACCAUCUUGAUGUUAAAACAGCAUUCCUCCAUGGAGAGCUGAAAGAAGAAGUUUAUGUGGUACAGCCUGAUGGUUUCGUUGUUAAAGGUCAAGAGGAUAAGGUUUAUAAGCUCAAGAAGGCUCUCUACGGCUUGCGCCAGGCUCCAAGGGCGUGGAACUUGAAACUGAAUCAAAUCCUGCGUGGCUUAAACUUCCACCGAUGCUCAAAAGAACCCUCAUUAUACCGCAAGGAGGAACAUGGCAAACUUCUGAUCGUGGCUGUGUAUGUUGAUGAUCUACUUGUUACUGGUUCAUCACUUCAACUAAUACAAGAAUUCAAGAAAGAGAUGGCAAAUAAGUUUGAGAUGAGUGAUCUUGGCAAGUUAACCUACUACUUGGGAAUAGAAGUUCAUCAAGGAGAUGAUGGCAUUGUUCUGAAACAGGAUAGGUAUGCACGCAAGAUCCUUGAGGAAACCGGAAUGGGAGCUUGCAAUGCAACACAUGUUCCAAUGGAGAUGAACGCUAAGUUCACUAAGUCACCAGAUGAGAGAAGUGUCGACCCAAAAGAGUACCGGCGAAGCAUUGGUUGCCUUAGAUAUCUACUUCAUACACGUCCUGACUUAUCAUUCAGUGUCGGAGUGCUAAGUAGAUAUAUGAAAGAUCCGAAGGAGUCUCACGGUGCGGCAUUGAAGAUGAUACUGCAGUACUUGCGCGGGUCAUGCUCUCUUGGCUUAAGGUUCUUACGCGAAAGGAACUUGAAACUUUUACUAUUCCUUGAGUUAUGAGCUAACUGGCGAUCUUGCUGAAAUCCGCGGGUUAGUUGUAGUUAACAGACGGGUUGUUUUUAGUUUUUUCUUUUUUGUACUUGGUUCUUCCCAUCUUAGUACUAAUCAGUAGUUUAACUGUUAAUUCUCUGGUUUCAUUUGUUUAUACAUGCAGGAAUCUUCUUGCCUUGCAUCACUCUGCAACACUACGCCAUGAUGAGUUGGGUCAGGUAUGUGUGUGUUUAAACCUCUACGUUCAUUGCUAUGAAACUUUUGUUCGCUGAUUGAAAUUUUUUGUGUUGAAUACAUGAAACACUUCUAAACCUGUUGCUUCGUAACUACCUGCAUUACAUUCAAACCAGCAGGUAGCUCUUUCUUGUUUAUGCUUUCAUACACUUUUAUAUCCAUUUCCCUAAUCAUUUUCCACUUGCAGUCAUAUCACUAACUAGUCUCCAACCUAGUUGAUGUGUUCCAUUAUACUCUCUUGCUCAUCCUUUGGUCAUUAUCUUCCAUCUGUUGUGUGUACCUUUUCUUUGCUACAUAAAAAUCAUCUUCUAUUUGAUAUCCCUUCCUGACGUCGCCAAAAAGCUGAGGCUCAGCUCGGCAAACCCUGUGGCUGAUGCUGAAAGCAUAGUGCCAAAGGCCAUACGCGACGGAGCAAUGGACGCGACCAUCGAUCACAAAAACGGGUGCAUGGUCUCCAAUGAAACAGGGGACAUCUACUCCACGAAUGAGCCACAGACAGAGCUUAACUCGAGAAUCGCGUUCUGCCUCAACAUGCAUAACAAGGCGGUCAGAGCUUUGAGGUGUCCUCCCAACACCCGCAAGGAGAAAGAGAGCGAUGAGAAGAGGAGGAAGAGUUGGCUAAGCAUAUGGCUGAGGAAGACGAUGAUGACUUUUAGAGAAGGAUAAUAUCUCAGUUUGAGUUUGUUUACUCUCACUCUGUUUCUUGUUUUUGCACACAACUUUACUGUCUACAGUGCCUUUAGUUCUAAGUGUUUUAUUGAGGAUAUGUUUCCUCCUCUCCGGAUAAUCAUUGUUCCUUUUUAUUACUUUGGUUAUAACUUUAGGAAAAGAGAUUUAUAUUAUCUUGUUGAAUACUAUAAGAGAGAUUAGGUGGGUCAGUAAUGCAACAUUGGCAUGUUAAUAUGUAACUUUAAGUCCACAUUUAUCUCUUAACUACUAGACGGUAAAGACCCUUGAAUAUGAUAUCAGAAGAAUGAAGACAAGACAUGUGUAAGGCCAUUAAAAUAAUUGAUACAUAAGUCCGUUCCUGCCAAACUAGGUUUCAUUUUCUUAAUAAAACAAUCUCAUGUUAUGCUUUAAGUUUACAGGUCUUUGUCGUGUGACCAAUUAAUUUAACGUGGGUUUUUAGGUAGGAGUAGGACACUUAAACUCAACGUCACGUAGGUAUGCCUUUGUGAUUAACUAAAACCAUUUUUUGCUUACGAUAUUACUAAACGCUAAUCACUUAGACCAAAGACUCAACGGAUUCUCUGAGCAACCCAACCACUUAUUGUUAUGUAUUUUAUUAAAGGUCAAAUAUUUCUUAAGUUUAUAACAUGCACAUGACUCAUCGUUACUAAACCUCGACGAGAAGAGUGACAAUGACACGAGCUGUAGCAAAAUUGGUAGGAAGAAGAAGAUACAUCGUUUAGCAGGUGGGAAGUUUUGGAGUCAACUUAUAGCUGGGCCAGAAGCGCCCUAGACUUCUUUAAGUUUACACCCUCUUUCUUCUUUGUCCAGGAGGAUGAGCAGAAAAAAGAGAUUGCUACUUCUAAUGACCUAAACGUCGACUUUCUAACUGCUGUUAUUGUUGCCACAACCAUCAGUUUCAGUGUUUAAUACUAAUCAUGCAUAAAGUGAGAGGUGAUUUUAAUAAUAGAAAGAAAGAGGGAGUGUACCAAUCAUGCAUCUAAAGAAAAAAUACUAAAGAACUGAAAAGAUAUAUACUAAGUUCUGUAUAACUUUUUCCUUUUUUGGCCAAAGAACUGAAUUUCAAAUUUUCUCUUUUUUUGGCCAAAGGACAGAGUUUCAAAAAGUUGAAAUAAAAACAGUUAGUGGUAACAGAAAAAGUAGCAUAUAAAACAAUUGUCAUAUGGCAUUCUUAGGUGUAAUGGCGCAAUCACAAAGAAAAAAAAAGUAAUAUAGUUCAUGUAUAUUUCACCAUGUACAUGGCUACAUCAUGACUCAAUCCAGGAACGAUUUUGGUAGAUCAUGACUAUCCACGCAACUACCAAAAGUCGAUGUGGACUGACGUGGACAGGUGAACAAAAAAAUAAAGGAAAAGCACACAAUCAAUCGAUUAUAAAUAGAGAGAAAGAGUCAUUACAACAAAAGCAGUUUCGUCGAGAAGAUUCAGAUCAUCAGAAGAGAGAAAAUGGGGACAGCUUGGUUCGUUUGGCAAGACUCUAGCUACCAGCUGCUGCUCCUGCAAGACAGAGAAAACAUGUAAUAAGUUUUUUUUUUUGAAACACAUUUCAUUCGUAAAAGCUCUUAAGCAGAGUUGGUUGAAGCCAUAAUGGCAAGUUCAGCAGACAAAACCUGCUUUGCUAAACUAUCAGCUACCCUGUUACUCUCACGUGAGAUCCAGGUAAAGGAAACAAAUUCAAAAGAGGAAGAGAUAGAUUUAAUGUCGGCCACGACACCAUAGAGCUCCGCAAAGGAACCAUCUUCUGUCAAAGCUUUGACAAGUUGGGACGAGUCCGAUUCACAUCUGAUUCUUGGGAUGGCGAGUUCUCUGCAGUGAAGAAUCGCUGCCCGCAGUGCGAGACCUUCAGCUAGAAGAGGAGAGUUUACAAACCUUUCAGGUAGGGAGAAGGAGGAGAGCCUGGAGCGAUCCUCUGUUGUCCAUCCUAUUCCAGCAACUUUUUUGGUCUCAUGCCAAGCUGCAUCAGAUCUAACUCGAACACAAUCUGGCUGAGCUGUUCUUGUAAUGAGGUUCUUCUUGCUCACGAGCGGGGUUUUUGUCUGCGCUCUGCUCCAUUCUGCGCCUGCUGCGACUGCUAUAGAUAGUGUAGCUUCUACAGUGAUUAUCCUGUUGUUAAAGACAAGGUUGUUUCUGGCCUUCCAAAUUUGCCAAAGGAUCCAGGGUGCCAAGGAUCCUACUGCAAUUCCAGAUGGGGGUAAGCAUCGUCUGCUGCAGAAGCUGUUCCAUACGUCCUGUUUUGAGAAUUCGCAGUGUAAGAACAGGUGCUCUAUUGUCUCGAGGCUACCACAUCUUUUGCACGUCCCUUCCACAUUGAUAUGUCUUCGAAGUAAUUGCUCUCCGCAGGGUAUAGCUCCAUGAAAGACUUUCCAAGCAAAGAGUUGGAUUUUAGGAGCUGUCUGUAGCUUCCAGACAUUCUUCUUCCAGUCAAAUUCUUGAUCGGUCUGUGUGGCUACUAUGGGCUCCGGCUGCGACGCUAAUGCUGCUAUGUAUCCAGUCUUUGUGGAGUAGGUGCCAGAGACAUCUUUCAACCACAUUAGUUUAUCAGGAGCACCUGUCAAACUGGGUCUGAGAGAGAGGAUUUUGUCUUCCUCAAAGGGUAGGAUCUGGCGAAUUUUCUCCACAUCCCACACGUUACCAUCUGGGUGAAAGAGGUCCGAUAUCGUAAGUGUGAGGAGCCCCUCAGGUGCUGGACCCAUUGGGCGCAAUUGCUCUGUUAGACUAAGCCAAGGCUUGUCCCAGAUGUUUGUACUCUGUCCAUUACCGAUGGCCCAGCCAGAGUUUUGGAGAAUUAAAUCCCGUCCCGUGAUGAUUCCUCUCCAUCCAUGUGAGCAACCGUCAUGAAGAUCAACCGAGAGAAACGGCUCCGAAGAACAAUAUUUACCUAAAAGGGUUCGACCAAGUAGACUAUCUGGGUAGUUUAAGAUCCUCCAGCUGAGCUUUGUGAGGUAUGCGUCGUUAAAACUCUGAAUAUCCCUGAACUCGAGACCUCCAUGCUCUUUGGGGAGUGUUAAUUUCCUAUAUAAUCUAUCAUAUCCUCAAUCAGUAAUUAUAAGUGUUUGGUUUAAACUAAGGAUAAUUAAGCCGGCUGCUUGGUGGGAUGGAGAUGAGGAAACAAAAGACAUAUUAGGUGGAAGAGAUGAGAAAACAGGAGGGACUUGGUUGGGUUGUUCUAAGCAAGGCCGAGUUGCAUUUCUUGUGAAUGUGACGAAUCAAACAUCUUUUACCCAUACGGGAGCCGAGUUGCUUACUGUCAAGUUCUUGAAGGUAUAUAUACUUCUUUCCUAAUUAUGAAAAGUUAUUAGUACUUGGGUUCUCAUGAUCUUGAUACAGGGGAAAAUGACUACAAGUGAGUUUGCAAAUGAACUUGCUAGCAACAAAGAACUGUCGUCUGGCCUUACCUUUAACUUAGUUGUGGCAGACAUAGCUUCAAAAUCGAUGGUUUAUAUCUCUAAAAAGUCUCCAACUAAGGAAGUCGAUGAGAUGAUAGAUCCUAUUGGUCCUGGUCGUUAUUUCAUUACCUCAGCCGGGAUUUAUGAUAUCUUCUCUUCACAGGUCAAUUAAAGCGACAUAAUUCUUUAGUCGAACAUGUUUUAAUAUAGUGAGUAACAUUUUUGUGUGGGGGAGGGUGUUAUGCAGGAUAAACACCCGAAAGGCAAGUUCAGUGAAGUACUUGAUGAAAACAAAGAAUCACCGAGGAGGGAGUUUUAUGAAAAGUUGAUGAAUGAUGAUCAAAUCAUUGUACCUGAAGGUGAAGGUGAAACCGAUACAAGCAGAACUGUAAGAAUAAAUACAAUACAGUCAUUUUUCCCAUUAAUCUGAUGUUUUGGACCCUUCAUUCAUCUUUUUGUUCUUUUGGGUUUAGGGUCCAAAGGGGGUGUGCAUUGGAACAACAUCGAUAGAGGUCAAAAGGGGUACUAGCAACAUAGGCUUCAAUGAGUACUACUGGGAGAAUGAUGAAUUCAAAGAGCAUAAGUUCCAUUUCGACAUGGAGUAGUUACAAUGAUCCGCAAUGAGCGAUUUGAUUAGUAGUAUGAUGAUAUAUAAAAUAAUCUUGUUGAAGUUGAUAAAGCUGUUAUAAGAUCGAUUUAGGGAAACUUCUUUCCUUGGUAGAUAUUAUUAUCUAGUCAAGAAGAAUAUGGUUUAAAAAGAAGUUGGAUUUUCUUAGCCUUUCCUUUUUUCUUUUUUUUUUUGAACUUCUUAGUCUUUCCUGUUACUCAAAUUUUACUCAAUAUAAUGCUUAUAAUGUUCAUCUAUAUAAUUCAGUUGAUGCCUGUUUGUAUGGUUAGAAGCAAAAGAAAGUAGAGCAGUCAGGAUUACAUAAGUACAAUUAAAAAAAAAAUUAUGUGCUAUGUACUACAAGUUUUCUAUAACCACUGUGUACUACAUUUUAUUGUCAUUUGUACUGCUUAAAAGACCCAUAUAUACAUAAAACAGACCAGCACCAACAUUAGAGAAAAAAAUCGAAACUGUGACUAUAUGACAACCUCAUCUGCAUCCUUGCGAAGAAGAGGAAUCGGGUAAGAAUGAUUCUGUGCACGGUUCUUUCCCCUCCCCUGUAUAUCUUUAUUUAUUUAUAUGUAUGUAUAUGUAUAAAUGUACUUACACACCUACAUACAUAUAUCAUAGUCAUGAAUGCUCAUCUUGUAUUCUUAAUAAACCAUGGGAUAUGAAUUUUGAACUGAAAGAGGAUUUCAAAAAUUCCAAACGCUAAAAUUACGCUUAACUUUCACUAAUUUGAGUAAGAAGCAAUUUCCACACGCAUAUCUCAGCUAACAGUAACCUUACAUAUACAAAUAUUCUAGAUAAAUUUAGUUUAAUUUUGAAAAAUAUCCUUGCUUUUGAUAAAAAUUGAAUACUCAAAUGGCUCAAAUUAAAUACCAAAAUGUGACAAACACGAUACACUCACAAUGCCACGUUAUAACAUAGUAUCUUAACCAGCCAAUAACAACGCAUCAUUAAAGAUAACAUCUAUGUGUGGAGUUUGCUUUUAGAGCCAUUCAUUGCUCUAUCAAAUUCUCUAUCUCUCACAAGUCCAACGAUUCAGCCAAAGGAUAACCCACAAAACAAAAACUUUCACUUAGAUAAACAAUAUCUUCAUCAUGGCUUCAGUAACCUCAGCCACCGUCGCAAUCCCAUCUUUCACCGGUCUCAAAUCCACAUCCUCCAAACCCUCAACCGUCGUCAAAAUCCCCACAGUGGCGGCAGCAUCAAUGAAGCUCACCGUGAAGUCAUCAUUAAAGGACUUCGGAGUCGCUGCCGUAGCGGCUGCAGCUUCCAUUGCUUUGGCUGGAAACGCCAUGGCAAUAGAUGUUCUCUUGGGAUCAGGAGAUGGGCCUACAGUGUAUUGAAAAAGGCAUUCGCCUUAGGCCCCUCAAUAAUAUUACAAUUUCUAGGGCCCCAAAAUUUAAAAUAAUUUCUAAUUUAGUUGUUUAAACUUAUUUCUAAAAAAAAACUCUCAACGAGAAUCAAAUAACUCAAUUUCUAAAUCCAUAUACUUUUUUCUUAUAGAAAUAUAGCAUAUUUAUGUAAUAAACUUAUUCUUGUAAGUGUUAAACUUAUGUAUUUCGUGAAGGUGAUAUAUUGUAUUAGAAAAUUGUUUUCUUUAUAGUUGUAUAUAAAUUUAUUUUUAAAACUUGUCUUAGGCCCCUAAAACCCUUCGCACGGCACUGGUUAUGAUAUGUGUGACCUGGAUGAAGUAAUAUUGGAUGAUGGUAAAUGCUACAUUUUGUUCAUUUAAGGUAUAAGCAGCUUGACCAAUGCCAAUUUCCUGAGUCCUGACUCGCAAUUGCUAGGACUAUUCUCUCAUUAUACAAAUAAGCUUAUACGAUAUUUAAAAAAAAAAGAAGCAAAAACAUAUACGAUAGUUUCAAACCUAGCUUAUGGGUGACAGAUCAAAUCAAAGUCGUAAUAUGAUUUAUAAUGACAAAUGAUUUAGGAAUCUAUACUAAUAAAAGAGACCUUUUGAGGCUCCAUAGAGCGUCCACAUCAGCAAAAAAAAAUUCUCCCGAAAGAUGACAUGUGGCUCUAUACUAAUAAAAGGGACCUUUUGAGGCUCCAUAGAGCGUCCACAUCAGCAAAAAAAAAUUCUCCCGAAAGAUGACACGUGGCAUAAAUUAUAAGUUUUACAUUUUAAUAUUACUAAUUUUCGAAAAUCUAUCUUAAAAUGUAAAAUAUAGAUAUUACGCAAAUAGAAAGUAUAAGAAAAGGAAAUAAAAAAUUUAAAAAAAAAUGGAAAAAGUACAUCAUUAUUUAAACAUCUAUCUUAAAAUGUAAAUCUAUCUUAAAAUAUAAAAUUAUUACUAAAUAGAAAGUAUAAGAAAUAUAAAUACACAAUAUAAAGAAAAAUAAAUAAUAAGUCAAUAUAUAAUAUAAGUAAAUACCAAAUUCAAAUAAUAGAAAAUUACAUUAAGAUUUAAAAAUAUAUCUUAAAAUUUAAAAUAUAGAUAUUACGUAAAUAGAAAGUAUAACAAAUGGAAAUAUACAAUUUAAAAAAAAAUAGAAAAACGUACAUUAAGAUUUAAACAUCUAUCUUAAAAUGUAAAAUAGAAAUAUUAAGUAAAUAAAAAGUACAAGAAAUGGAAAUACAUAUACAGGAAAAUAAAUAAUAAGUAAAUAAUGUAAAUAUAUAAUAUAUGAAUUAUAUAUAUAGUAAUAAGUAAAUAAACAAUUUUUUUAAAAAAUGGAAAAAGUUCAUUAAGCAUUAAACAUCUAUCUUAAAAUAUAAAAUAUAUAAUAUAAGUAAAUACACAAUUUAAAAAAAUGGAAAAAGUACAUUAAGAUUUAAAUAUCUAUUUUAAAAUAUAAAAUAUAGAUAUUACGUAAAUAAAAAAUGUAAGAAAUGGAAAUAAACAUUUAAAAAAAUGGAAAAAUGUAUAUUAAAAUUUAAACAUCUAUCUUAAAAUGUACAUCUAUCUUAUAAUGGUAGUAAAUUAUAUAAACAUGGAAAUACCACAUUAAACAAAAAAAAUAAAAAUGUAUAGUUUUACAUCAAGAAAGUCCCUAUAAAACUCUUUAUUCCAUCAACAUCAACCUCACACUAUCAAGGAAAACUUCAAAGCACUCUAGCAAAAAAAUGGUUCCACCAUCAACUCUUGCCGUCCGAAAAACCUUUAAUAACCUUGAAGGAGAUUUUUUAUAACAACGAACUUUUUGUUAGGUGGAUUCAUUGUUGGGAAACCCGUAACUUCCAAAAGCCAAACUUAUCCAUGGGGAUUGAAUUGCUUUUCAUAGACUCAAAGGUAUUUUUACAAAUUUAAAUUAAUCUAAUCCAUAAUUUUAUUGUUAAUGUUCAUACUAACUCUUUUGUGAUCAAACCAUUACAGUUAAUAACCAUUCAAGCGUUUAUCCCAAAACACUUCCUUCCUCGCCGAAUCAAGUAUUAGUUCAUGUUGGUUUAGAAUUAUUUUUGGUUUAUUAACCGGUUUAGGAUGGUCCUAUUGUAAAUAUAAUUUAAGUUGGUUUAGCAAAUAUUAUGCUUAAAAUAACUUAAAUUAAAUAAUAGUAAUAUUAUGCUUAAAAUAUAAUUUUAGAGAGUUUUCAAAUAUAGUUUACUGAACAUUAUAGGUGAUAAAUUUAAUUUAUUAAAUUCGUUUAUUACUUAAAACUAAGUUUUUUUAAAAAC
RNAcentral lists this long non-coding RNA (23048 nucleotides) under Brassica rapa (field mustard). RNAcentral describes it as "long non-coding RNA (BRAP_LNC005242)". Lineage: Eukaryota; Viridiplantae; Streptophyta; Magnoliopsida; Brassicales; Brassicaceae. The record is from RNAcentral.